RNAcentral lists this ribosomal RNA (465 nucleotides) under uncultured bacterium. RNAcentral describes it as "partial 16S ribosomal RNA". It matches the Rfam family "Bacterial small subunit ribosomal RNA", at positions 338 to 795 of the family's 1533-position model. The record is from RNAcentral.
CCUACGGGUGGCAGCAGUAGGGAAUUUUCCACAAUGAGCGCAAGCCUGAUGGAGCGACGCCGCGUGAGUGAAGAAGGUCUUCGGAUCGUAAAGCGCUGUUGUUAGGGAAGAACAUCUGCAUUAGGAAAUGAUUGCAGACUGAUGGUACCUUGCCAGAAAGCCACGGCUAACUACGUGCCAGCAGCCGCGGUAAUACGUAGGUGGCAAGCGUUAUCCGGAAUUAUUGGGCGUAAAGCGUGCGCAGGCGGUUCUGUAAGUCUGGAGUUAAACGCCUGGGCUCAACCCAGGCAGGGCUUUGGAAACUGGCGAACUGGAGAGAAGUAGAGGGCAGUGGAAUUCCAUGUGUAGCGGUGAAAUGCGUAGAUAUAUGGAAGAACACCAGUGGCGAAGGCGGCUGCCUGGGCUGUUGCUGACGCUGAGGCACGAAAGCGUGGGGAGCAAAUAGGAUUAGAUACCCUAGUAGUC